GAGUUUGAUCAUGGCUCAGAUUGAACGCUGGCGGCAUGCCUUACACAUGCAAGUCGAACGGCAGCAUGAUCUAGCUUGCUAGAUUGAUGGCGAGUGGCGAACGGGUGAGUAAUACAUCGGAACGUGCCCUGUAGUGGGGAGUAACUAGUCGAAGAUUAGCUAAUACCGCAUACGACCUGAGGGUGGAAAGUAGGGGGACCGCAAGGCCUCAUGCUAUAGGAGCGGCCGAUGUCUGAUUAGCUAGUUGGUGGGGUAAAGGGCCCACCAACGGCGACGAUCAGUAGCUGGUCUGAGAGGACGGAUCAGCCACACCUGGGGAC
RNAcentral lists this ribosomal RNA (320 nucleotides) under uncultured microorganism. RNAcentral's name for it is "bacterial SSU rRNA". It matches the Rfam family "Bacterial small subunit ribosomal RNA", at positions 9 to 325 of the family's 1533-position model. The record is from RNAcentral.